GGAAGAUUGGCAGAGUCUGGUUUAUUGCGUUUGUCUUGAAAACAAAUGAGGGUAAAACCUCCACUGGUUCGAAUCCAGUAUCUUCCU
Molecule: transfer RNA, 87 nt
Filed under: bacterium
Lineage: Bacteria
Description: tRNA-Ser
Rfam family: tRNA
About the family: Transfer RNA (tRNA) molecules are approximately 80 nucleotides in length. Their secondary structure includes four short double-helical elements and three loops (D, anti-codon, and T loops).
Source: RNAcentral